GAGUUUGAUCAUGGCUCAGGAUUAACGCUGGCGGCAUGCCUAAUACAUGCAAGUCGAACGGAGUAGCAAUACUUAGUGGCGAACGGGUGAGUAACACGUAUCUAAUCUACCAUUUAGUGGGGAAUAACUGUUGGAAACGACAGCUAACACCGCAUAAUAUUGCUGGAUAAUUUCCAGUAAUGAAAGGAGCUUUCAAGCUCCGCUGAUUGAUGAGGAUGCGGCGCAUUAGCUAGUUGGUAGGGUAAUGGCCUACCAAGGCAAUGAUGCGUAGCCGAUCUGAGAGGAUGAACGGCCACAUUGGGACUGAGACACGGCCCAAACUUCUACGGAAGGCAGCAGUAGGGAAUUUUUCACAAUGGGCGAAAGCCUGAUGGAGCAAUGCCGCGUGACUGAUGAAGGUCUUCGGAUUGUAAAGGUCUGUUGUAAGGGAAGAAAUGGUAAAACAGGAAAUGGUUUUAUCUAUGACGGUACCUUACCAGAAAGCCACGGCUAACUAUGUGCCAGCAGCCGCGGUAAUACAUAGGUGGCAAGCGUUAUCCGGAUUUAUUGGGCGUAAAGGGUGCGCAGACGGUUUUGCAAGUCUGAGGUUAAAUUUAGGAGCUCAACUCCUAAUCGCCUUGGAAACUACAAGACUAGAGUAUAGGAGAGGUUAGUGGAAUUCCAUGUGUAGCGGUGGAAUGUGUAGAUAUAUGGAGGAACACCAGUGGGCGUA
RNAcentral lists this ribosomal RNA (712 nucleotides) under uncultured Spiroplasma sp. RNAcentral's name for it is "bacterial SSU rRNA". It matches the Rfam family "Bacterial small subunit ribosomal RNA", at positions 9 to 719 of the family's 1533-position model. The record is from RNAcentral. Lineage: Bacteria; Bacillati; Mycoplasmatota; Mollicutes; Entomoplasmatales; Spiroplasmataceae.